This 628-nucleotide ribosomal RNA is filed under the name Salmonella enterica subsp. enterica serovar Paratyphi B var. L(+) tartrate +. RNAcentral describes it as "partial 23S ribosomal RNA". It matches the Rfam family "Bacterial large subunit ribosomal RNA", at positions 641 to 1269 of the family's 2925-position model. The record is from RNAcentral. Lineage: Bacteria; Pseudomonadati; Pseudomonadota; Gammaproteobacteria; Enterobacterales; Enterobacteriaceae.
CAAGGUUAACCGUAUAGGGGAGCCGGAGGGAAACCGAGUCUUAAUUGGGCGUUAAGUUGCAGGGUAUAGACCCGAAACCCGGUGAUCUAGCCAUGGGCAGGUUGAAGGUUGGGUAACACUAACUGGAGGACCGAACCGACUAAUGUUGAAAAAUUAGCGGAUGACCUGUGGCUGGGGGUGAAAGGCCAAUCAAACCGGGAGAUAGCUGGUUCUCCCCGAAAGCUAUUUAGGUAGCGCCUCGUGAAUUCAUCUCCGGGGGUAGAGCACUGUUUCGGCUAGGGGGCCAUCCCGGCUUACCAACCCGAUGCAAACUGCGAAUACCGGAGAAUGUUAUCACGGGAGACACACGGCGGGUGCUAACGUCCGUCGUGAAGAGGGAAACAACCCAGACCGCCAGCUAAGGUCCCAAAGUCAUGGUUAAGUGGGAAACGAUGUGGGAAGGCCCAGACAGCCAGGAUGUUGGCUUAGAAGCAGCCAUCAUUUAAAGAAAGCGUAAUAGCUCACUGGUCGAGUCGGCCUGCGCGGAAGAUGUAACGGGGCUAAACCAUGCACCGAAGCUGCGGCAGCGACACUGUGUGUUGUUGGGUAGGGGAGCGUUCUGUAAGCCUGUGAAGGUGUGUCGUGAGGC